Molecule: ribosomal RNA, 465 nt
Filed under: uncultured bacterium
Lineage: Bacteria
Description: partial 16S ribosomal RNA
Rfam family: Bacterial small subunit ribosomal RNA
Source: RNAcentral
GAUGAACGCUGGCGGCGUGCUUAACACAUGCCAGUCGAACGGAAAGGCUCCUGCUUGCAGGGGUACUCGAGUGGCGAACGGGUGAGUAACACGUGGGUGAUCUGCCCUGCACUUCGGGAUAAGCCUGGGAGACUGGGUCUAAUACCGGAUAGGACCACAUUUUGGAUGGUGUGGUGGAAAGUUUUUCGGUGUGGGAUGAGCUCGCGGCCUAUCAGCUUGUUGGUGGGGUAAUGGCCUACCAAGGCGUCGACGGGUAGCCGGCCUGAGAGGGUGUACGGCCACAUUGGGACUGAGAUACGGCCCAGACUCCUACGGGAGGCAGCAGUGGGGAAUAUUGCACAAUGGGCGCAAGCCUGAUGCAGCGACGCCGCGUGGGGGAUGACGGCCUUCGGGUUGUAAACUCCUUUCGCUAGGGACGAAGCGCAAGUGACGGUACCUGGAGAAGAAGCACCGGCUAACUACGUG